This 861-nucleotide ribosomal RNA is filed under the name Dactylogyrus leonis. Its description in RNAcentral is "eukaryotic LSU rRNA". It matches the Rfam family "Eukaryotic large subunit ribosomal RNA", at positions 35 to 658 of the family's 3401-position model. The record is from RNAcentral. Lineage: Eukaryota; Metazoa; Platyhelminthes; Monogenea; Dactylogyridea; Dactylogyridae.
UAAGCAUAUCAGUAAGCGGAGGAAAAGAAACUAACCAGGAUUCUCCCAGUAACGGCGAGUGAACGGAGAUUAGCCCAUCACCGAAGUCUAUCCGCGCUUGCGGACAGGACAAUGUGGUGUUGAGACCGGCUCCUGGGAGCGCUUCCCUACUCGAAGUCCAUCUCCGAUUCUGGCUUGGACUAGUGCCAUAGCGGGUGAAAGACCCGUGCGGGUAGGCUGUGUGUGUGUUACAAGCGCUCCUCAGAUGUGCCGGUCCUCGAGUCGGAUUGCUUGAGAAUGCAGUCCAAAGUGGGUGGUAAACUCCAUCCAAGGCUAAAUACUGGCGCGAGUCCGAUAGUAGACAAGUACCGUGAGGGAAAGUUGAAAAGUACUCUGAAGAGAGAGUAAAUAGCACGUGAAGCCGCUUGCAGGGAAGCUGGUGGAGUCAAGCUUCAUGCUUGGUGGAUUGUCGUGAGAGAUGGGCUGAGAAGUCAUGGUGCAUCGGGCGAUGGUGUCGGUGAGCCUGGAAAAGGUUUGGCGCAUGCAAGUGCGCUGCAAGUCUCUCCGGGUAGAGUGUUUGUGCCGGCCCCAGUCCGCCUGUGUCUCUCGCGGCUUAUCCACCUCCGCAUACAUCACGGUCAAUAGGAUGUUGUGCUGUGCGAGUGCUUAACCGUGCCCCUGUGGACCUCACCGUCUGCUGGGCCCGGAAUGGCAGAAGGCACGUGUGGACCUCGCUGUCCGCACUGUGCGUAUGGUGGUUUUGACCUGCUAGUGCUCGCGUACAGUAUCCCUCCUAUUGGGCUUAUGCGAUGCCGGCUCUGCGGAGCGGGUGUCUGUGAGAACCGUGGUGCUGAGGUAGAUUUCCACCCGACCCGUCUUGAA